UUUAAUUGUUAUUGUUAUUAGGUUAGUGCUAGGUUAUUAGGGUUAGUAAUAUUUAGAAUUAGGUUAGGGUUAGAAGAAGAAGAAAGAUGAACAAAAAGAAGAAAGUAAGAAUAGGAAAAAGGAAAUAAGAAGAGGAGGAGAAGAAAAGAAGAAGGAGGAGGAGAAUAAGAAGAGGAGGAGAGGAUAAGAAGAGGAGUAGAAGUGGAAGAAGAGGAGGAGGAGAAGAAGAAGCGUAGAAGAAAAGGAAAAGAAGAGUAUGAGAAGAAGAAAAAGUGGAGAAGAAGAAGAAAUAUUUAUCAUUCUGUUUUUUGUCAUUUAAUUGCUAUUCUUAUUAGGUUAGUGCCAGGACAUUAGGGUUUGUAAUAUUUAGAAUUAGGCUAGGGUUAGAAGAAGAAGAAAUAUGAACAAAAAGAAGAAAAUAAGAAUAGGAAAAAGGAAAAUAAGAAGAGGAGGAGAAGAAAAGAAGAAGAACGAGGGGAAUAAGAAGAGGAGGAGAAGUAGAAGAAGAGUCGGAGGAGAAGAAAAGGAAAAGAAGAGGAAGAGAAAAAUAAAAAGAGGAGAAGAUAAAGAAAUAUUUAGAAUUCUAUUUUUUUUACCUUUUGUUAUUUAAUUUAUUAGGUUAGUGUUAGGUUAUUAGGGUUAGUAAUAUUUAGAAUUAGGUUAGGGUUAGAAGAAGAAGAAAGAUGAAUAAAAAGAAGAAAAUAAGAAUAGGAAAAACAAAAAUGAGAAGAGGAUGAGAAGAAAAGAAGAAGAAGAAGAAGAAGAAGAAGAAGAAGAAGAAGAAGAAGGAGGAGGAGGAGGAGGAGGACAAUAAGAAGAGGUGGAGAGGAGAAGAAGAGGAAAAAUAGAAGAAGAUGAGAACUAGAAAAAAGGGAGGAGAAGAAGAAGCGGAGAAAAGAAGAAGAAGAAGAAGAAGAAGAAGA
Molecule: long non-coding RNA, 923 nt
Filed under: Hordeum vulgare
Lineage: Eukaryota; Viridiplantae; Streptophyta; Magnoliopsida; Poales; Poaceae
Description: long non-coding RNA (HVUL_LNC011868)
Source: RNAcentral